Molecule: long non-coding RNA, 2721 nt
Filed under: Homo sapiens (human)
Lineage: Eukaryota; Metazoa; Chordata; Mammalia; Primates; Hominidae
Description: RBM26 antisense RNA 1
Source: RNAcentral
GGCGGAGAAUGCGCGGGUCGAGUGCUGUAGUUCGAUUUUUGCGUGUGUGCGUUGCUUGCGGCCUUUGUGCCUUUUUAUUCUUUGCUUACCUUUAUGAUAUAAAGACCUUAUUUCUUACAAGGAGGAAAAGACCGCUGACUUCAGAAACAGCGGGAACCCCAGCUCGUCCCCGCAUUCCCAGUUUACAGCUGAGGAAAUUAAGCUUCAAGUUGCCCAAGUUUAUAGAAUGAGUCAAUGGCAGAGGUUGAACUCAGAUGACAAAAUUGGGGUCUGGACGUGUGCAAGGACUUUUCCAAAGUCAGCUGGAAAGGAGCUGCUUAGCUGAGAGGUUCUGGCUCCAGAGUCUCCUGUGAAGUUGCAGUCAAGAUGUCUGCUGGGACCCCAGUCAUUUGAAGCCCUGUCUGGGGCAGGAGAAUCUAGGUCCAAAAUGGCCGUUGCAGGAGUCCUUAUCCACACCAUGUGGGACCUCUUCAUAGAUGUUCGAGUGUCCUCAUGGCAUGGCCACUGGCUUUCCCCAAACUUCAAACUAUGCAUAUGGGCCAGGCGCGGUAGCUCAUGCCUGUAAUCCCAACACUUUGGAAGGUCAAGGUGGGCAGAUCAUUUGAGGCCAGGAGUUUGAGACCAGCCUGGCCAACAUGGUGAAACUCCGUCUCUACUAAAAAAUACAAAAUAAUUAGCUGGGUGUCGUGGAGCAUACCUGUAAUCCCAGCUGCUCCGGAGGCUGAGGCACGAGAAUCGUCUGAACCCAGGUGAUUCUGCACUCUACUUGGGCUCUGUCUCAAAACAACAACAACAGCAACAACAAAAACUGUGGUAUUUUUAAUGAACUAAAUAUUAAUCUGCUAACACAGCAUAGGUUUUAUGAUUACUGCAAUUCAAAAGUCAUAAUAAAUUUUAAAACAAAUCCUCCUGUACCUGUUGUGGUGCAUGCAGAAACUUUUCCUGUUCAACACACUUAUAUGGCACUAUAUAGGGAUAUACCAAAUAGCUCAGGUACAUAGUGAAUACAACUUUAACACUUAUAUUGAAAUGCUAAUCUUACUUGCCAAUAUUAGUGGCACAUUAGCAUAAUUUAACUUUUAUAAAAUUAUGGAAAACAGUUUAAAAUUAUUCUCCCUAAUAUUAGCAAAUUGCAUUAAUGGCAUGUACCGUGUGCCAGUUUGUUUCCAAAUAAACAAAAUGUACCUUGAUAUGCCACUUCAGAGCCAGCAGAGGGAGCUCAUACUUUUUUAUUGUUUUCAACUUACUGAAGAAAAUUUGCUUUUAAAAGCUACUGUGUUAUAACCAAUGAGAACCAAGAAAAAGGAAAAAAAAAAAAAAGCUACUGGAUUCUGAAAAAUAAUGUAGUUGUUAUUUAAAUAAUAAAAAUGUAUUAGUAAACAAAAAAGUCAUACUUUAGGUUGAAAUAAUAAAUCAAUUCUAAAUAAAAAGAUAUUAAUGAUAUUUUAUGUAAAAAUGUCAAUUAAAACUACAUAAUUUCAAGGUUUUUUUUUUCUUUUUCUUUUAUUAUAAUUUUUUUAGAGACAAGAGUGUCGCUCUGUCACCCAGGCUGGAGUGCAGUGAUGUGAUCAUAGCUCACUGCAACCUCAAACUCCUGGGGUAAAGCAAUCCUCCUGCCUUAGCUUUCUAAGCAGCUAGGACUACAGAUGCAUUCCACUAUGCCUGGCUAAUUUUAAAAUUUUUUUGUAGAGACAGGGUCUUGCUAUGUUGCCCAGACUAGUCUCAAACUCCUGGCUUCAAACAAUCCUCCCACCUCAGUCUCCUGAGUUGGGGUUACAUGUGUGAGCCACUGCACUCAUCUGCACUCAGCUAUUCAAUUUAUUUUUCUAAUAGCCUUUACUAAAAAAAAGAAAUGUUUGUAACAGAGAUUUCUGGGGUAAACUAAAAUGGAAACCUUCCAGCUACAAGCAUAAAACGUAACAGAUAAAAAAUGACAAAUAUGACACACUUCAAAUUUAAUUCUUACACAUGAAAUUAAACACAUAAUUUAAAUACAUUCCCAUUCACUCAAUUCUCAGCCCUUCCAAAGACACAGAUAAAUGCCAUUAUUAGUUUCUUCUUCUUUUUUUUUUUCUUUUUUUAUUUUUUGAGACAGAGUUUUGCUCUUGUUGCUCAAGCUGGAGUGUAAUGGUGCAAUUUAGGCUUACUGCAGCCUCCAUCUCCUGGUUCAAGUGAUUCUCCUGCCUCAGCCUCCCGAGUAGCUGGGAUAACAGGUGUGCAUCACCAUGCCCAGCUAAUUUUUUGUAUUUUUAGUAGAAAUGGGGUUUCACCAUGUUAGCCAGGCUGGUCUCAAACUCCUGACCUCAAGUGAUCCACCCGCCUUGGCCUCCCAAAGUGCUGGGAUUACAGGCGUGAGCCACCACAUCCGGCCCAUUAUUGGUUUCUUAUGUAUCCUUUCAGAAUUUCUUUAUGAAUAUACAGACAUAUAUGAACAUAAAAUCUUAUUCUAAUCGAAUUUUUCUUAUGCAAAAACAGCAUAUCAUAUACACUAUUCUGUAUCCUGCUCUUUUUACUAAUAUAUAUUGGAAACAUUCGCGUAAGUCUAUAGUAGAGACCUUACUCCUUUUUUUUAGGCAUGUGUAGUGUAUAGCAGACAGAUUGUAAGAAUAUAUAAUAAUUGAUCUAUUCCCACUUAAUAAAUUUUUUUAGUUGUUUCCAUUUUCAAUUACAGAAAAUUCUCCAAUAAUGAACUUGUAUAUAUUUGCCAUUUUCUACAUGUGA